CAGUUUUUAAUUUUAAUUGUGUUUUUGUUAAUAAAUGAUAAUUAAUUAAUAAAAAAGUCAUCUAUUUGCUUCUUUUUCAUAUAAUUUCAUGGAAAAUUCAUAAUAAAGAAAGGAUUAGGAAAAGGAGGAGAUUCAUACAUAAAUUGCUUGUUGUCUACACAAUGGAUCUGACUUUUCAACCUUGAUAUUCCUAUCUUCGGUACGACAGCAUUGUAUACCAGCGUUGCACUCGGUGAGUUCGUUCAAAGAGCAGUGGAUGCAAACAACACGUGUAAACCUCUGCAUCGAAUUAGCAAGAGAAAUAUGGUUCUAAUGCGAAUUAUUCCACGAUACGGAUGCUCAUGGAAGAAAGAGGCUCGUGGCGCUACCGAUGGAAACGGACGAAAACAGCACACAAGGAGAGAGAGAGAGAGAGAGAGAGAGAGAGAGAGAGAGAGAGAGAAAGAAGGGGGAGGAGAGGAAGAACGUUGCUCAAACAUCCGAGUGUUUAUCACGUCGAGUGAAUGAUUACAACGAUGGGGUUCCAGGGUUUUUAGAUUGGACGAGUUUCUUUUUCUUGGCGGGAGAUGGAACGAUUGCGUGGAGGAUUUGUUGGAGUUGUUAGGUAACAGGAGGGUAAUGAAUUCAUUUUUAUCGUUUCUUCCUAAAAAUUCUUUUUGUUUCUUUUUCUUCGUUACGCAGGUUUUUACUUUUGUAUUUUUUUUUUUUUUUUUUAGUUUUUAUAAGUAUAAGGGAUUAAAAAAUCUUUAUAUUAUUUUAUUAAUGUAAUAAAUUAAAAUUCUUUUUUUUUAUGUUUAUAUUCGAAAUACAAAAUAUUUUAAGCCUACGAUGUGAUUCAAAAUUAUCAUUGACAAGAAUUCGUAUCUUACUUUAUUUACUCUAUAUUUAUUAUUUCUUUUAUAUGUAACACGGCGGAUAACGCGUUUUGUAAUUUUUUUUUUAAAGCUGUCGACGUCUUUUUUUUCGAAAUGUAGAUUUCACUUUGUAAACGCGUUUAAUCGAUUCGUCGCGUGAUUCUGCACGCCAGAUAAAAGUGCUGACCGCAUAACGGGUUCUGGAACGUCUUCGUUCAGAGUCGUGUAGUCACCUAUAUAACCACAAUGUAGUUCAUCGGUGAUCUAAAACCCGAUGUGGAUUAAAUUAAAUACGGAAUUCGAAUUAACAAUUCAAAUCAACAGAUGCACUCGAAUCGGUUAUCGUGGAUAGAAUAAAGAAAAUCCAUUUCUUUCGAUCUAUAAUUUGUUGGGCCAAUAGAGAAUUGGAUGGAACGAAAGAUGAGGCGUUAUUAUUCAUUCGAGGCUCGAAUCGAAAAUCGAUCUUGAUGAAAAGAUGAUUAGUCAUUGCGAUGGUCUAUUUCAAACGUUCGUAUUAUCGUCUUCGAGAUAUCGUCGAGUUCAAACUGUAUAUCUUAAUAACAAUGAAAAAUAAAUCACACUCUGCAUCUCGAAAAAUAAACGAACAAAAUUUUGGAACAGCUUAAUA
Molecule: long non-coding RNA, 1482 nt
Organism: Apis laboriosa (Himalayan honeybee)
Lineage: Eukaryota; Metazoa; Arthropoda; Insecta; Hymenoptera; Apidae
Exons: 4
Source: RefSeq, a predicted model, not a curated record